Bos taurus (domestic cattle) is the source of this 52-nucleotide non-coding RNA. The record is from Rfam. NCBI's taxonomy places the organism in Eukaryota, Metazoa, Chordata, Mammalia, Artiodactyla, Bovidae.
UUUUUAGUAUAAAUAUGUCCCAUGCAAUAUUGGGGACAUACUUAUACUAAAA